This 877-nucleotide long non-coding RNA is filed under the name Mytilus galloprovincialis (Mediterranean mussel). Lineage: Eukaryota; Metazoa; Mollusca; Bivalvia; Mytilida; Mytilidae. The record is from RNAcentral.
CUUAGAAUAAAAUAGGUUUUUGAUGUACUUUUUCAUUGUUGUGAAAUCAUAAGACAAACAUUACAAAAGUCAUAUUGUGUUGAUAAAUAUACUUAUUUUGUCCAUCUGAUGAGUUAAGCCUUAUUUAACUGAUUUGUAUAGUUCAUUCUUAUGUUGUACUGUUAUAUCACUGUCCCAGGUUAAGCGGAGGUUUGGGAUCAAGCUAACAUGUUUAACCCCGCCACAUUAUGUAUGUUUGUGUCUGUCCUAAGUCAGGACCCUGAAAUUCAGUGGUUGUCGUUUGAUUAUGUGUUACAUGUUUGUUUUUCGUUCAUGUUUUGUACAAUAAUAAAGCCGUUAGUUUUCUCUUAUGAAUUGUUUUACAUUGUAAUUUUGGGGCCUUUUAUAACUGACUAUGUGGUGUGGGGUUUGUUCAUUGUUGAAGGCAGUACGGUGAAUUAUAGUUGUUAAUUUAUGUGUCAUUUUGGUCUCUUGUGGAGAGUUGUCUCAUUGGCAAUCAUGCAACAUCUUCUAUUUUUAUCUUAAGCCCUUAUAUUUCGCAUGUUUCCCUUAAUCUGAAGAUAGCAGCGGAGCAAUAAAAAGCCAAUUCGCUUAAUGACACACAUCACGUGUGCAAUAUCAUGACCAGUAUUUGUAUCAACUUAAAAUGUCAACGCAAUUUUUCAAUACUCUUUGUUGUUCAUAACUCAUGAUAUAUUUACUGUUAUUAGUUUUUUAUGUGGUCUUAAAAAUACAUGUUGUGAGUGUUACUGUUGGGUGUCUGCAUACAAGUAUAUUGCUUACAUGUAAAUAUGUUUCUGUUAAUUUUUAAUUUGGUACAUUGUAUUCUAACACCAUUUCUAGAUGAUGUGUUCAAUAUAUAUGUAAAUAAAAAAGC